This 300-nucleotide long non-coding RNA is filed under the name Hordeum vulgare. RNAcentral describes it as "long non-coding RNA (HVUL_LNC003021)". Lineage: Eukaryota; Viridiplantae; Streptophyta; Magnoliopsida; Poales; Poaceae. The record is from RNAcentral.
UGUGCUCCAUGACAUCGAGAGGUAGGAUGGCUGAUGCAUGACACCCAACGGACUUAGGCGAGCAAGGGAUUGCAACGUCCAAGUCACUACACUCCUCGACAUCAAUUUUCUGGCUAGGCUCCAAAGGGCCAGGCGCCAACAUAUCGUCCGCAUCAACAUCAUCAGCCAUGAAAACAACUGAGACGACAACGUCGCCCGUGGAAACCACUGACACAAUUGACUUAGGCACCUCCACUUGUUCACAUAACAUAGGCGAAGCAUGCCCCUCACCCGAGUUCACUAAUGAGUCCACCUCCAAGC